GAGUUUGAUCCUGGCUCAGGAUGAACGCUGGCGGCGUGCCUAAUACAUGCAAGUCGAGCGAACAGAUAAGGAGCUUGCUCCUUUGACGUUAGCGGCGGACGGGUGAGUAACACGUGGGUAACCUACCUAUAAGACUGGAAUAACUCCGGGAAACCGGGGCUAAUGCCGGAUAAUAUUUAGAACCGCAUGGUUCUAAAGUGAAAGAUGGUUUUACUAUCACUUAUAGAUGGACCCGCGCCGUAUUAGCUAGUUGGUGGGGUAAUGGCUUACCAAGGCAACGAUACGUAGCCGACCUGAGAGGGUGAUCGGCCACACUGGAACUGAGACACGGUCCAGACUCCUACGGGAGGCAGCAGUAGGGAAUCUUCCGCAAUGGGCGAAAGCCUGACGGAGCAACGCCGCGUGAGUGAUGAAGGUCUUCGGAUCGUAAAACUCUGUUAUUAGGGGAGAACAAAUGUGUAAGUAACUGUGCACGUCUUGACGGUACCUAAUCAGAAAGCCACGGCUAACUACGUGCCAGCAGCCGCGGUAAU
This 533-nucleotide ribosomal RNA is filed under the name uncultured bacterium. RNAcentral's name for it is "bacterial SSU rRNA". It matches the Rfam family "Bacterial small subunit ribosomal RNA", at positions 9 to 524 of the family's 1533-position model. The record is from RNAcentral.